GAUAAUAGAUUAACGGUGGCAAUUCCGACUCCGAUUACUCGUGGAUGGAGCGUCAGCUGGAAGGGGAAGCGGAUUACUAAUGACGUUUCGAGCUACGCACUUAAUCUUAAGGGUACCGACACCUUUCUCACAGUACUGAUUGAUGGUGAGUUUGAUGAGCCAUGUCGAGUUCGCAUCAUCGUCAUGAACGAAACAAAACGCCACUUUAAAACCAAGACGAUGUUGAAAUAUUUAGAAAUUAAGAUUUCGUUCAGAUUGAAUUACGUUCAGGUUAACAUGGAAGGCCGUGAAAUUAAGUUGCUUCAUUAUCAGAAGUUCUCUUAUACUUCUGUGAGAAUAACCUCCUUGCUUGUCGUCGGAAAUUUCUACACCAAAACUCUGAAAUAUGAAUAUUAACAGAAGUUGAAAACCCCCCACCAAUAUCUGACGUCUGAGGGAAGUGGAAUUUGCGGCUGGGCAACUAAUCUGCAGCAGUUAAAUUCUCAAUACAACGACAAUAUUUCCAAAAUAGUAUGACUUUCGCAUCGAGCGAUACAGCACGUUUCUUGAAUUCGCACCACCAAUUUGUUUCCGUCUCCAUCAAUCAAUCACAAUGUUUCGGCUAUUUCUUUGAUGUUAAAUGUCAGUUACGGGAAUAGCGGAAAGGUCGCGACUUUUUACGAGUCUCUCAGUUUCAAUUUAAUUUAUACGUCACACAUCAAUCUAUUACAAUCAUGUUUAUUUCCUUGGGUGGUAUACCCAAGCAUACAUAUAUAUGUGUGCGCGUCUGAUUAGCACAUUUUGGUAGUAAUUACAAUAAUGUGACAUUACAUUACUUUAUUCUAAUUGUAUUUUAUUAUUGCCUUUAUUAUUAUAUUGUAUUUGUAUAAUACUAUUGUUUCUAAUACUGUAUUGCAUUUUAUUAAUACCAUUGUACUAUUGGUUCCUGUAAACCCUAUC
This is a long non-coding RNA of Gigantopelta aegis, 939 nucleotides long. RefSeq lists it as uncharacterized. The record is from RefSeq and is a predicted model, not a curated record. Lineage: Eukaryota; Metazoa; Mollusca; Gastropoda; Neomphalida; Peltospiridae. The transcript is spliced from 3 exons.